RNAcentral lists this non-coding RNA (26 nucleotides) under Mus musculus (house mouse). Lineage: Eukaryota; Metazoa; Chordata; Mammalia; Rodentia; Muridae. The record is from RNAcentral.
UGGAAAUGAGUAGUCAAGGAAGAGGG